AAAUUGAAGAGUUUGAUCAUGGCUCAGAUUGAACGCUGGCGGCAGGCCUAACACAUGCAAGUCGAACGGUAACAGGAAGCAGCUUGCUGCUUUGCUGACGAGUGGCGGACGGGUGAGUAAUGUCUGGGAAACUGCUUGAUGGAGGGGGAUAACUACUGGAAACGGUGGCUAAUACCGCAUAACGUCGCAAGACCAAAGAGGGGGACCUUCGGGCCUCUUGCCAUCAGAUGUGCCCAGAUGGGAUUAGCUUGUUGGUGAGGUAACGGCUCACCAAGGCGACGAUCCCUAGCUGGUCUGAGAGGAUGACCAGCCACACUGGAACUGAGACACGGUCCAGACUCCUACGGGAGGCAGCAGUGGGGAAUAUUGCACAAUGGGCGCAAGCCUGAUGCAGCCAUGCCGCGUGUAUGAAGAAGGCCUUCGGGUUGUAAAGUACUUUCAGCGGGGAGGAAGGUGUUG
RNAcentral lists this ribosomal RNA (459 nucleotides) under Salmonella enterica. Its description in RNAcentral is "bacterial SSU rRNA". It matches the Rfam family "Bacterial small subunit ribosomal RNA", at positions 1 to 456 of the family's 1533-position model. The record is from RNAcentral. Lineage: Bacteria; Pseudomonadati; Pseudomonadota; Gammaproteobacteria; Enterobacterales; Enterobacteriaceae.